This 465-nucleotide ribosomal RNA is filed under the name Vreelandella stevensii. RNAcentral's name for it is "partial 16S ribosomal RNA". It matches the Rfam family "Bacterial small subunit ribosomal RNA", at positions 338 to 795 of the family's 1533-position model. The record is from RNAcentral. Lineage: Bacteria; Pseudomonadati; Pseudomonadota; Gammaproteobacteria; Oceanospirillales; Halomonadaceae.
CCUACGGGAGGCAGCAGUGGGGAAUAUUGGACAAUGGGGGCAACCCUGAUCCAGCCAUGCCGCGUGUGUGAAGAAGGCCCUCGGGUUGUAAAGCACUUUCAGUGAGGAAGAACGCCUGGUGGUUAAUACCCAGCAGGAAAGACAUCACUCACAGAAGAAGCACCGGCUAACUCCGUGCCAGCAGCCGCGGUAAUACGGAGGGUGCGAGCGUUAAUCGGAAUUACUGGGCGUAAAGCGCGCGUAGGUGGCUUGAUAAGCCGGUUGUGAAAGCCCCGGGCUCAACCUGGGAACGGCAUCCGGAACUGUCAAGCUAGAGUGCAGGAGAGGAAGGUAGAAUUCCCGGUGUAGCGGUGAAAUGCGUAGAGAUCGGGAGGAAUACCAGUGGCGAAGGCGGCCUUCUGGACUGACACUGACACUGAGGUGCGAAAGCGUGGGUAGCAAACAGGAUUAGAUACCCUUGUAGUC